GGAGAGAUGUCCGAAUGGCUAAGGGGCCGGACUUGAAAUCCGGUGAAGCCGAAAGGUGUCGGGGUUCGAAUCCCCGUCUCUCCGCCA
RNAcentral lists this transfer RNA (87 nucleotides) under Bacillota bacterium. RNAcentral describes it as "tRNA-Ser". It matches the Rfam family "tRNA". Rfam says of the family: Transfer RNA (tRNA) molecules are approximately 80 nucleotides in length. Their secondary structure includes four short double-helical elements and three loops (D, anti-codon, and T loops). RNAcentral also lists the same sequence under 1 other name. Lineage: Bacteria; Bacillati; Bacillota. The record is from RNAcentral.